This is a long non-coding RNA of Cavia porcellus (domestic guinea pig), 4141 nucleotides long. RefSeq lists it as uncharacterized. Lineage: Eukaryota; Metazoa; Chordata; Mammalia; Rodentia; Caviidae. The transcript has 11 exons. The record is from RefSeq and is a predicted model, not a curated record.
AUAAACCUCAGCUCCUCUAAUUUGCUGGUGUUGGUUACUGCGUCCAGCAAUGGGAAAACUGACUAAUACACCAUUGUUUGUUUCCUUUCAGCUCUUGUGGACCUCUGAUGGAGAAACUGUCUACUCCAACUCUCUGUGACUACAUCUAGUCCACGUGUUGUGGGCCCACUAUGUUCUGGAAGGGGAGCUGCAAUUAAGGCUGAGCAAGAAGCAGGAAGUGGGAGGCAGUCCUGCUUUGACCUUCUGCCACGUUAGACCACCGCCAUAAUUUCUACUAAAGCAAGAACCUUUCACCUUUACCUGGAGGAAAGACACAGGACUGCCCUAUAAAAUCUCAGACAGCCCUCGCCAAGGACCCCAAUUAUUCUCACUGGGUCAAACCCCUGUGUCUAGUCGCAGUUCCCUGUGACAGUCUACUCUUCAUAAAACCUAAGCACAAUUACACAGGGCCAGGCAUGGUAGCCCACACCUCUAAUCUCAGCAUCUUGGGAGGCUGAGACAGGAGGAUCAUAAGUGUGAGCUCACCCUGGGUACGUAAGCAACUCAGCAAAAUUCUUUCUCGAAAUGAAAAAUAAGGGCUGAACUUGCAGGUCAUCAUGGAGGCCCGGGUUCUAUCUCCAGGACAGCAAAACAAACAACAACAAAACCACAGGUUUCUCACUUCUUCUGGGUCUUCAUUUCGAAGCCAUCAACCCAGUGGUGGCCAUGAAAAGAUACUUCAUCUUCUACAACGUCGUGGCAAAUAGCAACCCUUUCCAGCUUUCUGAUCUCGGGCUCCUUCCUGCUACAGAAUUAGGCCCACUGAUGGCUGUAAAGCGCCCUCCCACCUGGCCCAGGGAACCUGUGUGUAAGGCAGCUGUUGGUGGAGGAUGCCCUGUCUCCAUCCUCUAGAAACUUGCUAGAAAUGCAAAUUACUGGGGCCCACUUUAGACUCAUUUUAUCAGAAACUCUGAGGGGGCGGAGCCCACAAAUCUUGUUUUAACGAACCCUCCAGGAGAUUCUGGCGAAUGCUUAAGUCUGAUAACUACACACGCGGUAAACUUUAAUAAAAAGAAUGCAGCAACCUAAAACGAGCUUUCUUUUCUUAGCUUGUUUGCUGCAGCUUCUCGAAGUCGCCGGCAGAGGGCGAUGGUGGACCUGCCUUCGCCUUGCGGAACCGCAGAGCUCAAACACUGUAGAGGGUACUCCGCAGUCUCAAGCUUGGUCGGCUGCAAAAGUGAAUUACAAAUACGGAUAGAAAAGGGACUUCAGAACGCUGCGGUAGCACCCUGGCGGUUAAAGAGAAGGCAACAUUCGGAGUCGCAGCUGCAGCGGCGGCUGCAUCAGCAUCGUCUCUUGCAAAGGCAUUCAGAGCUGAAGCGUCCCUUUGCAGCAUUUCUCGGAGCCCUUUGCCUUUGAUGUACUCGAGCCUUCCGAUUUCCUUUGUUCUUUUUUUCCCCACACGUCAGGCUUUAGCGCUGACAAGCUUCCGCGUUAAAGGCGUGGGACCUCCGGGCUGCGCCAGCUGGAGGUGUUGCUCGCUUCUCGGCCCUGGGCGAGCAGGGAAAGCCCCUCCUCCCCAACUUCCUCUUGGGGUCCCGACCACCUUUUGAUCUCUCGGGUUGCAUUUGCGCCCCGCCUCUUUCUCGGGUGUCCCGCUGGUUCCCCUGGGGGAUCCUCGCCCUGCAACCGCUCCUGGUCUCGGCUUCUGCACCGAGGGCUCCCUGCAGGUGCGGCCGGCGCUUGACCCCGGCUGCACUACGCGGGGGCGGGGCUCGGAGGAGCAGCCCUGCAGGCGGGCCCUUCUUCCCGUCCAGGCCCUGCACCCCGGUCCUCUCCCCCGCCACACCCACGGCAGGAAGCCCGGCUGGGGAGGGGCCCGCAGGAUGACUUGGAAUUUUUGCCUUUGUUUUAGCCACCCUGAAGGAGAGGUUAGCCACCUGUAUGAUGGGCAGCAGUAUGUGGAAGAAAUUUGCGAGACCAUGAAGAGCUGGUGGAUCGCCCAAGCAAAUGCACACAACAAAUUCAUUGUCUUUGCAGUCCUGGCUUUUCAUCUCUGUGCUCUGUUCCAUCAUUUGCCAUGCAAGUCACAUAGAAGUAAGAAUGAUAGCAGCUAGGCUGGAGGAACAGAGACCCUGGCAAUUUGGAUGCAAUCUCAUCUGAAUUUUUGGAUUUGGGAAGGCAGAAUUGCUUCUCCCCACAUCGUUUUUUUAAAUUGCUGCUCAGCUUCUUGUGCUUAAUGAAGCUUUUCAGAAAGGGAAACUAGCAAACAGCAAAGCCUGCAUUCUGCCCUUUAACCAAUUGUUUUCUGCAUUGUUUAUCAGAACACUACUGCAUCGUGAAGUAAUGGCACUGGGGAUCAAACCAAGGGUCUUCACACAUGCUGGAUGAGAGCUCUACUCAGAUCCUCAACUGAAGAAAUGCUGUGAUCUCUUUGAAAGAUUUCUAUUUACUGAAAAGAAAGCUGAGAAUGGCCACCAAGGAGACACCAAUGAUCAUUUAAGAACAGAAGGUAUACUUUUUAAAUUCUGUCCAGCAUAAGGAUAGCAUGUUCCAAGACUCUAGAUUGAACCCAAGACUCCCACAGAUGGCCCAUCAGUCUGUUUUUUAACUUCUACCAGUGAAAAACCUGAAACUAGGUAUUUAAAAAAGAAAACAGGUUCAUUUUGCUCACCAUUUUGAAGCUGGAAAGCCAGACGCAUGGCUCUGAUAAGUACCCUUGGCUGUAUCACCUUGUAUGGAUGGCGUCACGAUGUCUGGAAGGGGAGGAGCACAUGGGAGAAGAAAGAAAAGAUCCUGCAGAAAUUGGCUUGGAUCCUGAUUUGACCUGUAACCAGUGGAGCUGAAGCUCCUGCAAACUCCAGGUGAUUGACAACACACGAAGAAAUUAACUAUUUUCAGUAUCUCUACUCUGCAAUUACCUUAAAAUUUGAAAAUGGAUAAUUUGUUCCUAGUUCUUUAGUGAAUAUCAAAAAACUUCAACUUUUGAGUAGGCUGAGCCCAGCUGUGUUAUUCUGAACCUUUCUGCUGUUUCAUUUAACCUUCCAAAUUCCACAUGGCUUAGCCCAAAUAAGUAUAAAGUAUUUUUCACAGUGUUACUAAAGAUCUGCAUUUUAAAUGGGGCUUUUAUUUUUAAAAUCAAUCAACUAGUUUUAAUCUGUUGGUUUGUUUUUUGAGCUUCUAGGGAUUGAACCCAGGGUCUUUCCACUGAAUUAUCUCCUUAGCUCUUUUUUAUUUUGAAACAGGGUCUCACUAAGUUCUUAAAUUGCGCAGUCUAGGCUUAAAUUUUUUCUCCUUUUACCAUAGCUAUCCAGAGUGCUGGGAUUACAGUAGUGAGCUGCCAUGUCUGGCUAAUCUAACAAAAUUUUGAAAGCUGUGCAUUAAAUUAUUGUUGGAAUUCCACUGGUGUUUAUCUCAGAUGGAUUUGAGUCCAUGUGUAUUUGGUCUACAAAGUACAACAAAUUUUUAUUUGAACUCAACUUAACUGAGCCCCAGUGUUAUACACCAUGAGUUUAUGACCCAAAAUAUCCACAAAUACAUCUUUGAGACAGAAAAUGCCAGGAUCAUCAGAAGUCACAGCCAUACUUUUCAUAGAUGGCUUGAAUUCAGGAAAAUAUGACACAUGCAAAGUCCUGUUUCCCACUUAGUUUCUGCAACCCAUAAUGACUGGUAGAGAAGUUUUACGGAGUGUGUGUGUGGGAGGUGGGGAGAGGAUGAUCUUCACAGUUUGAAUUGUACCACACUUAAGGCAAUUUUAUAAAAAGUUAACUAUUAAAUAAGGGUUAUCAAUUAAAAGCAGCCAUGAAGUGAGGAUAUUUUCUUUAGUGAUUUUUUUUUUAAAGCAGUUUGGUGUUAGAGGGAGUCUCACUAUAUUGUAUAACACAUGUUAGAAGCAUUUAGCAUCGAUUAACAACUGACAGCAACGUUGUGUGCAGAAAGCUUGAAAUCCCUAAGCAAAGAAUGGUACAAUUCAUUUGGAAGAAAAUGCGUCACUACUGUGAUAUUGAUUACUAAUUUCCAAGUUCCAAUUUUUAACAUAUGGACACCUAUCAGCGCAAGUCCUUAAUUUCCUGGUUGCUUAAUGUAGCACCAAUAAUUUCAAACCUAAAAUAAAGAAGUUCUUGUGGUUUUUAUCUUAAAUAAAGUAUUUGAGUACAAAUUA